Molecule: ribosomal RNA, 467 nt
Filed under: uncultured bacterium
Lineage: Bacteria
Description: partial 16S ribosomal RNA
Rfam family: Bacterial small subunit ribosomal RNA
Source: RNAcentral
AUGAACGCUGGCGGCGUGCUUAACACAUGCAAGUCGAACGGAAAGGCCCAAGCUUGCUUGGGUACUCGAGUGGCGAACGGGUGGGUAACACGUGGGUGAUCUGCCCUGCACUUCGGGAUAAGCCUGGGAAACUGGGUCUAAUACCGGAUAGGACGAUGGUUUGGAUGCCAUUGUGGAAAGUUUUUUCGGUGUGGGAUGAGCUCGCGGCCUAUCAGCUUGUUGGUGGGGUAAUGGCCUACCAAGGCGUCGACGGGUAGCCGGCCUGAGAGGGUGUACGGCCACAUUGGGACUGAGAUACGGCCCAGACUCCUACGGGAGGCAGCAGUGGGGAAUAUUGCACAAUGGGCGCAAGCCUGAUGCAGCGACGCCGCGUGGGGGAUGACGGCCUUCGGGUUGUAAACUCCUUUCGCUAGGGACGAAGCGUUUUUGUGACGGUACCUGGAGAAGAAGCACCGGCUAACUACGUG